AAAAGAAAAACAAUUCCUACGCAUGUGUCCUUCAAGCACCAUAGGGGAAGAAUAACACACAGCCACCUUUGUUCCCCUUCAUGGCCGUAGACACCUAGAGGAGAAGCAAAGAAUUUCGUGUUCUAUUCUUCCACCUGUUUCCAAAGUUGUGAGUCUCCCAAAGGCAAGCACCAUAACUCGUGAAGCAUACCUUCUUUCCCUUUGCACAGCCACCCAUCCAACCGAAGGCUUGCAUCAAUUCCCCUCUAUUUAUGCCCACUGUUGUCAACAACAAGUCUGAGUCUUUUCUGUACAUUUAGAACAGAAAACCGAGCCUAUGAAUUCCUCACAAAACUGUGACGCUCUCUUGAGAAGGACCAACAUGCCAUCUUUCAUCUCCUUUCACUCGUUGGUCGGCUGAAUGCAGCAGCCAAGGGGACUGCACACUAGCCUCACAUCCAUACUCAUUCUCUUGUUCGGCCAAAGGCCCUCCUUUAAGAAGCUUCUUCCCUUUUCAUGUUAUCCCAAACGCGAAUCAUGGAGCCUAGGAAGAGCAUGGGCUGCUUCUCGGUCAAUUGUGGUCUUGGGCGUCGAUACAAGGAAAAAGAGGACGGAAGAGCAUUGGAAGACAUAAUUAUAUGGAUAUUUGCUGUUAUGUGCUGCUAGAUGGACUAUUGUUGUUGCUGUUUAUUUGAUGGAUGACUGUAUUAAAUUGAGUAGGUUGGAUUACUGUUGAAUUAUGAUUUUAUUACUAUUUUUAAGACUUUUGUGAUCAGCAAGUAUUUUGAAAACAAAUUCCUGAAACGUUUUGCGAA
Long non-coding RNA from Gastrolobium bilobum, 794 nucleotides. RefSeq lists it as uncharacterized. The record is from RefSeq and is a predicted model, not a curated record. Lineage: Eukaryota; Viridiplantae; Streptophyta; Magnoliopsida; Fabales; Fabaceae. The transcript has 3 exons.